RNAcentral lists this unclassified non-coding RNA (240 nucleotides) under soil metagenome. RNAcentral describes it as "partial contains 5.8S ribosomal RNA, internal transcribed spacer 2, and large subunit ribosomal RNA". The record is from RNAcentral.
AACACUGUUAACCUGCGGUACCUGCGGAAGGAUCAUUACAAGAAGCCGAAAGGCUGCUUCAAACCAUCGCGAACCCUUCCAACGUUGCCUCGGCGGGCAGGGGUCCUCCCCGGAGGUGCCCCGCGCGCGCCGGUCCGCCUCGGCGGCCCGGCUAGCGCCCGCCGCUGGCCCCAAACUCUGUCUCUCUGUAGGAUCUCUGAGUAAAACACAAAUAAGUCAAAACUUUCAACAAUGGAUCUC